GUGGGGAAUUUUGGACAAUGGGCGCAAGCCUGAUCCAGCAAUGCCGCGUGCAGGAAGAAGGCCUUCGGGUUGUAAACUGCUUUUGUACGGAACGAAACGGUCCGGGUUAAUACCCUGGGCUAAUGACGGUACCGUAAGAAUAAGCACCGGCUAACUACGUGCCAGCAGCCGCGGUAAUACGUAGGGUGCAAGCGUUAAUCGGAAUUACUGGGCGUAAAGCGUGCACAGGCGGUUUUGUAAGACAGGCGUGAAAUCCCCGGGCUCAACCUGGGAAUUGCGCUUGUGACUGCAAGGCUGGAGUGCGGCAGAGGGGGAUGGAAUUCCGCGUGUAGCAGUGAAAUGCGUAGAUAUGCGGAGGAACACCGAUGGCGAAGGCAAUCCCCUGGGCCUGCACUGACGCUCAUGCACGAAAGCGUGGGGAGCAAACAGGAUUAGAAACCCGGGUAGUCC
RNAcentral lists this ribosomal RNA (450 nucleotides) under uncultured bacterium. RNAcentral's name for it is "bacterial SSU rRNA". It matches the Rfam family "Bacterial small subunit ribosomal RNA", at positions 354 to 796 of the family's 1533-position model. The record is from RNAcentral.